UGUCGAAAGACUCAUUAAGUACCUGAAUGUAAUUGCAUCCAUGACCGGAGAAUAUGUUUCUUCAUAAUCAACUCCUGGUCUUUGAGAGAAACCUUGUGCAACAAGUCGGGCUUUAUAUCGUGUGAUCUCAUCUUUUUCAUUUCUUUUUCGCACGAAUACCCACUUGUAUCCAACAGGUUUUACACUCUCAGAUGCAGUGACAAUAGGUCCAAAGACAUUUCUUUUAUUAAGGGAGUGCAACUCAACUUGCAUGGCAUUUUUCCAUUUCUCCCAAUCCGGCCUUUUCUGGCACUCGGAUAAUGUCUUUGGAUCUGGAUCAUCAUUCUCUUGAUCGAUCUCUUUAGAUAAAGAAAAGGAGAAUAUUCCAUUAUCAUCAUCAAUAUCAUCUCUAUCCCAUAUGAUACCAUCAUGGGCAUAGUUAAUGGAAAUCUCAUACUUUUCUCUAUCGUCCCGAGGACUUGGUUCUUCUUGAAGAACCUUUUCAUUUUCUUCUCCCAAUUUCUUUUUCUUUCGGGGAUUUUUAUCUUUUGAGCCAAUAGGCCUCCCACGCUUUAAUUGAACCUUAGGUUCAUUAAUUUUGCUCCCAUCUAAUUCCAGCUCACUAGGAAUUUUAACUCUUGAUGGGGCAUUUGCAGCGGGGAUAUAUGACUUUGUCACUUUUCUUGUAUCGGUGAACGAAUCUGGUAAUUGAUUU
RNAcentral lists this small RNA (694 nucleotides) under Arabidopsis thaliana (thale cress). Its description in RNAcentral is "ATSL029520". The record is from RNAcentral. Lineage: Eukaryota; Viridiplantae; Streptophyta; Magnoliopsida; Brassicales; Brassicaceae.